This 501-nucleotide ribosomal RNA is filed under the name uncultured bacterium. RNAcentral's name for it is "partial 16S ribosomal RNA". It matches the Rfam family "Bacterial small subunit ribosomal RNA", at positions 30 to 523 of the family's 1533-position model. The record is from RNAcentral.
AUUGAACGCUGGCGGCAGGCUUAACACAUGCAAGUCGAGCGGAGCGAGGGUGCUUGCACCUUAGCUUAGCGGCGGACGGGUGAGUAAUGCUUAGGAAUCUGCCUAUUAGUGGGGGACAACAUUCCGAAAGGAAUGCUAAUACCGCAUACGCCCUACGGGGGAAAGCAGGGGAUCUUCGGACCUUGCGCUAAUAGAUGAGCCUAAGUCGGAUUAGCUAGUUGGUGGGGUAAAAGCCUACCAAGGCGACGAUCUGUAGCGGGUCUGAGAGGAUGAUCCGCCACACUGGGACUGAGACACGGCCCAGACUUCUACGGGAGGCAGCAGUGGGGAAUAUUGGACAAUGGGCGGAAGCCUGAUCCAGCCAUGCCGCGUGUGUGAAGAAGGCCUUUUGGUUGUAAAGCACUUUAAGCGAGGAGGAGGCUACUUAGAUUAAUACUCUGGGAUAGUGGACGUUACUCGCAGAAUAAGCACCGGCUAACUCUGUGCCAGCCGCCGCAGUAA